Molecule: transfer RNA, 102 nt
Filed under: Blumeria hordei DH14
Lineage: Eukaryota; Fungi; Ascomycota; Leotiomycetes; Helotiales; Erysiphaceae
Description: tRNA-Pro for anticodon CGG
Rfam family: tRNA
About the family: Transfer RNA (tRNA) molecules are approximately 80 nucleotides in length. Their secondary structure includes four short double-helical elements and three loops (D, anti-codon, and T loops).
Source: RNAcentral
GGCUCAUUGGUCUAGUGGUAUGAUUGUUGCUUCGGGAAUUCCCCGGCCAUAAAAUGGCUUCUGAAAUGUGACAGGCCUCGGGUUCGAAUCCCGAAUGAGCCC